RNAcentral lists this ribosomal RNA (1376 nucleotides) under uncultured bacterium. RNAcentral describes it as "bacterial SSU rRNA". It matches the Rfam family "Bacterial small subunit ribosomal RNA", at positions 27 to 1393 of the family's 1533-position model. The record is from RNAcentral.
GAUUGAACGCUGGCGGUAUGCUUAACACAUGCAAGUCGAACGGAAACGAUACUAGCUUGCUAGUAGGCGUCGAGUGGCGGACGGGUGAGUAACGCGUAGGAAUCUGCCUGAUAGUGGGGGAUAGCCCGAAGAAAUUCGGAUUAAUACCGCAUAAUCUAUUCGUAGUAAAGUGGGGGACUUUCGAGCCUCACGCUAUCAGAUGAGCCUGCGUAAGAUUAGCUUGUUGGUAGGGUAAAAGCCUACCAAGGCGACGAUCUUUAGCUGGUCUGAGAGGAUGAUCAGCCACAUCGGGACUGAGACACGGCCCGAACUCCUACGGGAGGCAGCAGUGGGGAAUAUUGGACAAUGGGGGCAACCCUGAUCCAGCAAUACCGCGUGUGUGAAGAAGGCCUGAGGGUUGUAAAGCACUUUCAAUUGUGAAGAAAAGUUAGCGGUUAAUAACCGUUAGCCUUGACGUUAACUUUAGAAGAAGCACCGGCUAACUCCGUGCCAGCAGCCGCGGUAAUACGGAGGGUGCAAGCGUUAAUCGGAAUUACUGGGCGUAAAGCGUGCGUAGGCGGUUUAUUAAGUCAGAUGUGAAAGCCCCGGGCUUAACCUGGGAACUGCAUUUGAAACUGGUCAACUAGAGUAUGGUAGAGGAAAGUGGAAUUUCUGGUGUAGCGGUGAAAUGCGUAGAUAUCAGAAGGAACAUCAAUGGCGAAGGGCAGCUUUCUGGACCAAUACUGACGCUGAGGUACGAAAGCGUGGGUAGCAAACAGGAUUAGAUACCCUGGUAGUCCACGCCGUAAACGAUGAUAACUAGCCGUUGGGGGGAUUUACCCUUUAGUGGCGAAGCUAACGCGUUAAGUUAUCCGCCUGGGGAGUACGGCCGCAAGGUUAAAACUCAAAGGAAUUGACGGGGACCCGCACAAGCGGUGGAGCAUGUGGUUUAAUUCGAUGCAACGCGAAGAACCUUACCUGGUCUUGACAUCCUGCGAACUUUCUAGAAAUAGAUUGGUGCCUUCGGGAACGCAGUGACAGGUGCUGCAUGGCUGUCGUCAGCUCGUGUCGUGAGAUGUUGGGUUAAGUCCCGUAACGAGCGCAACCCCUAUCCUUAUUUGCCAGCACAUCAUGGUGGGAACUAUAAGGAGACUGCCGGUGAUAAACCGGAGGAAGGCGGGGACGACGUCAAGUCAUCAUGGCCCUUACGACCAGGGCUACACACGUGCUACAAUGGGAAGGACAAAGAGCCGCGAAGCCACGAGGUGUAGCUAAUCUCAUAAACCUUUUCGUAGUCCGGAUUGGAGUCUGCAACUCGACUCCAUGAAGUCGGAAUCGCUAGUAAUCGUAGAUCAGAAUGCUACGGUGAAUACGUUCCCGGGUCUUGUACACACCGC